GGUCGGUUUCUGCUGUGAGACGGCGGUCGCUGUCGUCCGUAUCACAGCAGAAUUUGACAUUU
This 62-nucleotide microRNA precursor is filed under the name Parasteatoda tepidariorum (common house spider). Its description in RNAcentral is "microRNA pte-mir-11961c precursor". The record is from miRBase by way of RNAcentral. Lineage: Eukaryota; Metazoa; Arthropoda; Arachnida; Araneae; Theridiidae.